AAGUCGUAACAAGGUUUCCGUAGGUGAACCUGCGGAAGGAUCAUUACUGUAUUCUAAUUGCCUGCGCUUAAUUGCGCGGCGAUUAAACCUUACACACUAUGUUUUUCUUUAUUAGAAACUAUUACUUUGGUUUGGCUAAGAAAUUAGUUGGGCCAGAGGUUUAUAUAAUCUUCAAUUUUUAUUGAUUGAUUUAUUAAAAUCUUUGUCAAUUUGUGAUUAAAUUCAACAAUCUUCAAAA
RNAcentral lists this unclassified non-coding RNA (238 nucleotides) under plant metagenome. RNAcentral's name for it is "partial contains small subunit ribosomal RNA and internal transcribed spacer 1". The stretch from base 1 to 46 matches the Rfam family "Eukaryotic small subunit ribosomal RNA", at positions 1786 to 1831 of the family's 1831-position model. The record is from RNAcentral.